This 465-nucleotide ribosomal RNA is filed under the name Vreelandella stevensii. RNAcentral's name for it is "partial 16S ribosomal RNA". It matches the Rfam family "Bacterial small subunit ribosomal RNA", at positions 338 to 795 of the family's 1533-position model. The record is from RNAcentral. Lineage: Bacteria; Pseudomonadati; Pseudomonadota; Gammaproteobacteria; Oceanospirillales; Halomonadaceae.
CCUACGGGGCGCAGCAGUGGGGAAUAUUGGACAAUGGGCGAAAGCCUGAUCCAGCCAUGCCGCGUGUGUGAAGAAGGCCUUCGGGUUGUAAAGCACUUUCAGUGGGGAAGAAAGCCUUGGGGCUAAUACCCUCGAGGAAGGACAUCACCCACAGAAGAAGCACCGGCUAACUCCGUGCCAGCAGCCGCGGUAAUACGGAGGGUGCGAGCGUUAAUCGGAAUUACUGGGCGUAAAGCGCGCGUAGGCGGUCUGAUAAGCCGGUUGUGAAAGCCCCGGGCUCAACCUGGGAACGGCAUCCGGAACUGUCAGGCUAGAGUGCAGGAGAGGAAGGUAGAAUUCCCUGUGUAGCGGUGAAAUGCGUAGAGAUCGGGAGGAAUACCAGUGGCGAAGGCGGCCUUCUGGACUGACACUGACGCUGAGGUGCGAAAGCGUGGGUAGCAAACAGGAUUAGAUACCCGAGUAGUC